ACAAAUCGUCUGUAGAGGCUAUCAUGAGAUUCCAGUGGUCUUUUUUGGUCGUUCAUGAUGUAUCCCUCGAGCACGCCUGAGUAGUUCAUUGUUACCCUUAUGAUUGCUGAAUCACUGAAAGGGUUGGAUACUGAAACCAAUCUGCCCCCUUGUGAUGAAAAUUCUGUUUUCCAGUCUUGAUUUGGUGAAUUCGGAAAUUCAGGGAAGUGGCCUCCCCAGAAGAUCGUCCUAUACACUCUUUGUGCCCCCUUGGUAAGCAUGAGUUGAGACAAUCCAUGGUUUUCAAUCCUGUAGCUGAAUUCUCCGACAGAUGGGUCGUCAACAGUUCUCCACGAUGUCAGAUAUUUAGCCUGAUCUCCAGUAUGAGUGUCUCCCACCACCAUCUUCAUUCCAGGUAACCUUGUGUCACCCGGGUAGUCAAAGCUCUGCCAUAUGUAGCUUGCCUGUAAGAAAGAGUUGGGUAUUAGUUUGUCUACAAUAAGCAGGUUGCCAGAAUCCAGAAGCUGUACAACUGGAGUUGAUGCAGCCAUGGAGGAACUGGAAAUCCAUAUGGGUGUUGUACCCUGUGGUGAGGUGAGGAUGAGGCUUCCGUUAUUGGUUAUAGUCAAGUAUCCAUGUUGGCCCGUGAUGGGGCUUUCUCUGUUUGCCACCCAGACUACGAUGUCUGGUGUAUUUUUGUUACCAUAUUCCCAGGAAUCUGCCUGUGUUUUUGCCCGGAGAGAAGAAUCCUAACUCGAAUAUUUUGGCCGGAGAAAUUAGUAGCUCUCCAUCAGGAAGAGUUUGGUUUGGGAAAAGUGUAUCAGCAGCAAUGCAGAGUUUGAAAAUGCUAAGAAGACAGUAGGAUUUGGUGUGAGCUGUGGAUGCUCCAUUUGGUAGGCUAAUUGGGAUGUAAGGUGAAAUAGUAGUCGUAUCAACAUAUAGAAGACUUCCUUUCAUUCGUACCAAUCAACGAUCUUGAUCGAUUAUAAAUGUGAAAUGAAACCAUAUUGUGGGCCUCCAUCUAGAUAUUAGUCUAAUCUGUUGUUUUGAAUUCAGUUUUUUCUACACGGAGUUUUGAAAAGUAGUAGUAUCCAUAUAUGUUUCCUUGCGUGAAAUUAGAAAUUCUGUAUAAAGUGUCAAUCGUUAACACUUUCAUUCGGAAGGGUUGUUAGUCUUCAAGAAUAAUACUAUUCAAUUGCAACUUUGUGUUGUCUAAUUUACUACCAAGUCAAAUUGUCUAGUGCAUUGCGUUUUCUAACUUCCUUCAUUUUAAGGGCGUCCACAGCCCAACAGCCUCUUUAGGAGCUUUAAGGAGGUGGUUCUAAAAGAGCUCUAAUUUUCUCAUUUUCAUUUUAUCAUUUCAUUUUUAAAAUUUCAUAUUUCAUUAAAUUAAAAAUUUCAACAUUACAUUAAUUAAAAUAAAAUACAAUAAAUAAAAAUAUUAUAAUAAUUAAAAUCGGGUAAAAAUAUUAAAAGAAUUAAUUUAGAAUUUUAAAAUUAAAAAAAAUCAAAAUUAAACUUUUUUUUAUAUAAGUAUUUGGAUUAAGAUGUACAUUUCGAAACAUUUCAAUGCACAAUGAAUUACUCCCGUCUCUUCUCUCUCGUACAUACAAAAUAUGCUUAAGGCAAAUUUUCUUUGUUUCCUUCUCUCUUUCUUUCAAACUCUAGUUGUUCCGUUGUGCCGUCACCACUCUGAAGUCUAAUCUUUCCAUCGUGCCACUAAAACCUUUGCUCCGAUGAGUUGCUCUCUUUAUCUAUCUCUGACGAGCUGUUAUCUCUUUCUCUAUCUCCGAUGACGCUUCUUCCGAUUUACCCGUAAGCUCCAGACCUACUUCCCUUAUUCAAGAUCUAUGAGUUCCAAGAGUUUCAGAUUCAUGAAAAUUAUCAGAUGUAAAUCCAAACAGAUCUAUCAGAAUUAUGAGAUGCAAAUCCAGAUCUAACAUGAUUUAGAAUGAAAUUUGAAUGGAACGAAUUCGUACCAUUAAUUCCAAAAUCUAUCAUGUCAAUCGUACCAUUAAUUCCAAAAUCUGUCGUGUCAAUCGGAGGAAUGGAUGGGCCAAAUGAACUUAUUAGCAUCAUCCAUUCUUUCCAUUCAUAAAUCCGUCACAUAUUUGGUAAAUAAGGGUCAGAGAUGGUGAAUAUGAAGGUAAAUUAAAAAGGACAAAUUUUAAGUUUUUAUUUAUCUAAAGGGUAAUAUGGUAAGUGAAGCUAAUUUUUAAGUUUCUUAUUAGUGUUGUACCCGUGCAUAUAAUCAUUAUAUAAAUAUAAGGAAAGAUAAUUACAAAAAAUAAACGUUAAAAAUUGUAAAAUUGUAAUGGAUGUAAGAAGACAAAUAGACAAUACAAUAUGUAUAAAAUAAUAAAGGAUUAAUCCUAAUUUUUACCCAUACGCAAAGAUAAAAAAGCAAAACAUACCCAACAAAACUAAAACAUAUAAAAGAUAUACCCAAUUUUUAUAUGAACACACAAUUAUACACUUAAUGAAAAUUGAAUUAAAACAAAAAAUUAUAAGGUAAUCCAAAAAAAAUUUAAUAUAUCCACUCACAAUCCCCUAUCAGAAUUCUCAUUUCUUUCUUUCUUUCUCUCUUUAGACUGUUGUCGCUUCUUCCUCCAAAUCGAAAUCUAUGUCGCGCCUCCAUUGCUCCACCACGGCUCUGCUCACCGCCUCGUUGUGCGUAGCAUAAUCGCCAUUGCGUCUCUCUUCGCUUCGUGCAACUCUACACUACAUCACCUUGCCUUGCAUCGCGCUGCUUCUCGACCUCACCACACUUCGUCGCUUUGCCACAUUGUCGCGUUGCUCUCAUUCUCUCUCAAAUCUAGAUGUGCUCGUUGCAGCUUGACGUUUGAUGCUCGACGCUUGUGUGUCGAGCAAUAGUUUAAAUUGAACAAUACGCUCAAGUGUCGAGCAUUAGUUUAAAUUGAACUAUUGCUCGAUUCUUAAUGCUCAACGCUCAAUCAAUCAUCGAGCAUUCAAGUCGAAUAUGUAUGGUAGUGGUGAACUAGUGGUGGUGGUGGUGGAUAGAUGCAUGGUUGUGGUGGUGGUAGAUUUAUAAAGCACAACGAUUGGCGGUGGCACUGUAGUCGACAACCAAUUGUGGCAGUGGCAAGGUUAUUUUUUCUUCAAUUGAUUACUUUAAAAAUUAUGUGACGGUGAACUCGAAUUUGAGAUUUUUAGUGUCGUCAAUGACCAUUUUACUUUAGACCAACAAAUAUUUAUUUUUGCAAUUAUACACUUAUCUAGGGUGUAUGCUCUUAAAAGGUAGAAAUAGGGUAAAUCAUUUGUGAGGGUUUGUGGAAAAGAUUGUUUAAAUUAUUUUUUGAACUGCUCUAUCUAAAUUAGUUGGUGACCUUUUUUUAUUGAGUAGUUGGUGGCAACUCCAAUCUACAUUAUAUUAUGUAUAUUAAAAUAUUGAUAUAUGUAUUUGUAAUUAGAUUUUGAAUGUAUGUAAAAUUCUACAAAUUUUUGAUAAUAUGAUCGCAUGGAUUACAAAAUUAUAAAUUUGGAUUGUGAAAAAAUUUUAUACUCUUUCCAUCUACAAUAAAUGUGGGUUGAGUUGUGUGAACCCUACUACUAUAAAUAAAAGUGACAAUUUUUUAUAGAUAAAUCGAAAAAGAAAUUAUGGCAAAUUUUUUAGUGAUACAAAUUGAAAUUCAAAUGUUUUUAAACGUAGGUUCUUUAUUGAGAUUAUUAAUAUGAAUUAUUAUUAUUUUAAAAUAAUUUCAUUUACUUAUAGUAUUUUAAUUCUGUUAUUUAACAUGUUAAAUUUAAUUCCUGAAUAUUCUGCUCAACCAUUUCCAUCAAAACUAAUUUUCAGGUAGGCGAUUAUUUAUUUAUCAAUUGUCACAUUGGUUCCUAAUUUAUUAUUGAGCAUGAUCAGAAAAUAUCAAUUUUUCGUAGAGUUGAAGAUAAUAUCAUUGAGCGAUUGAAAAUUGGAUUGUGUAUUUGCCUUAAGUUAUGAAUUUUGUUGCUGAUAAUAAUAAUGGUGGUCUUUAGUUGAUAAAUGUAGGUAAGAUUCGAGCGUUAUGUCUAGUUAUUUGGUCUUGAUGUUUUGAGAUGAAUGCGAUUGCUAUGAUUGCUCAGAAACAAAUUUCUUGGUAGAUUAAGAUCAUGUGUGGUUUAACGGAUGAAUUUCUGUUGCUUGUGGAGAUUUUUUUAGUAUUAGGUUGAAGUUUAUUGAUCUAAUCAGUUGUUCGAUUUAUAUAAUUAUAUACGCUCGGAUUUGGUAGCGGCCUUGAGCUGCUUCGGUUGCAUUCUUGUGUUGUGAUAUGAGCUGAAAAUCGAGCUGCUUUUGAGAUUAUUUGUACGGAGGUAGACUUAUAUUUUGAGUUGAAGAAACUUUAAUGAAUGAUAACAUUGAUCAAGAUAAUGCAUAAUUCUGAGAUCUAGAACACUUCCCAGUAACGAUCUACAACUUUUCUAUAUAUUUUCAGGAAAAAGAGCAAUGAUUAGUUGAAGUAAACUUGGUCUGACUAGAAAUCAUCUGUAUCUUCUACUAGCAGAAUGCAAUUUGUGCAUGUCACAACCUCUUUCAACAACUACCUGGCUUCUACAUCACUCAUUGUUAUUGUGCCACUGCUCGGCUUGUCAUUCCUCUUCAAGAAACUGGAUCUACUUUGCAAGAAGAAUCCAGGUUUCUUGGGCCGAGGCAACGCUGUAUCCUCACUGCUUAGCAUCAGAACCACAGACGGCAUCAUUGGCCUCUCGUCUGCUGCGUUUUGGACACAUAAUAAUCCAAUUUGGAUACACCUCUUUACUUGUGGUUCCGUGUAUGAACUUUUGUAGCUUGUAUCCAUCAUCUCCAGCUCUCUAUUUUCCUGCCAAAGUAGCCAUGCCUGCGACAAAUUUAGUAUGGACUUAACAAGGUUUUCAUAGGAAAAAGUUCCACUAUUUAUUAUUGCAAUUCAGCAUAUCUGAAUUGUUCAAUAACGAGCAACAGAAUAUAGUUUAGUUCACCUGUUCGAGAAGGUUCUGAUAGCAAGAAGGAUGCUUGAAGCCUGUGUUCUUUUUCCCACUCACUAUCUCCAAUAUUACUACUCCGAAGCUAAAUAUGUCUGACUUGACAGAGAACUUCCCAUCAAAUGCAUACUCCGGAGCCAUGUAGCCACUGUAAUGAGCUCUGAUGCAUUAUUCUCUAUGAGAAGAGUAUGUAUACAUAACUGCUUUGUGUGUGUGUGACACUUACUAUGUCCCAGCAACUCGUUUUGUUCUCGCUGUAGACUGAUCGCCUUCAAACAUUCUAGCUAGACCGAAAUCUGAGAUCUUCGCAUUCAGAUUCUCAUCUAAUAAGAUAUUGCUUGCUUUUAGGUCCCUGUGGAUGAUUUUCACUCUGGAAUCAUUAUGGAGGUAAACCAUACCCCUUGCAAUCCCCAUGAUAAUAUCGAAGCGCUUUGGCCAAGUCAAUAGUGGCCUUCUUUCUUGAUCUGCAUGUGUUGAAGAGUAUUACUAAGGUAAAAAUAAAACUGUAAUCUCUUGGAUAGAGUAGAAACUGUAGAAAGAUUUUCUCGAAAUUAUUAUCCAAACCAAAAAUGAAAUAGUCCAAGCUUUUGUUCUGCAUGUAUUCAUAGAUCAACAUCUUUUCCUCCCCUUCAAUGCAGCAUCCCAGGAUUUUGACCAGGUUCCUGUGCUGGAGUUUCGCGAUCAAAAUGAAUUCAUUUCUGAACUCUUCGGGGCCUUGUCCAGAACUCCUCGACAUUCUUUUCACCGCAAUUACUUGCUCUGCUGAUAGAAUUCCCUGCAGUGGCCAAAUCAAAAUCAAACUCAAACAGUAUAUAUUAUUGCUACUAUAAGUAAAUAUUGAUUUAUAAGCAUCACUUAACAUAAUGUUUUUACCUUGUAAACAGGACCAAAACCGCCUUCUCCAAUCAUAUUCUCUGUUGAGAAGUUAUUCGUGGCUGUUGCGAUGGUUCCCAAAUCAAAUAAAGGUAACUCUAAUCCACCCCUUACCUUCUUAGAAGCUGUGAAAGCAGUUAGUUAUACAUUUGUUCAAGUGUCUAUAAUAUUUGCUUGCAACAUAUAUCUUUACUGUGUAAACACAAUCAGUAAUUUGACCUUGUCUCCUGUGUCUUAUCUGUAGAAAAAAGCCUCCAAUAGCAAAGCCCAAUAUAAGCAUUCCAAACCCAGAAGCAGCAGCACCUAUAAGCUUCAACUCUCUCUUUGCUUGCCCUGUCCUCUUCCUAUUCGAAUCUGUCGCAUGUUCUAAGACGAAAUAUCAAGUAUUAGUAAUAAGGUUUGAUAAAAUACAAUCUCAGCUAAUCUCCUUAGCUCAUUAUAGAAUGCACUGAAGUAUUCAUCAUACCAAGUUCUGUAACAGGCACGCGAAUAUAAACAGUCGGUACUGCUCCAGAUUCUGUGCUCAGCUCCCUUAAGUCAAUCAAGUCCCCAAACCACAUCAAACAGUUUCUUUCAUAAUCUGAGUAAGGAUCAUCAGCAUAAGCCGUGCAGUUACAUUCGCUUAGGCAUUUUCUGCGACAUUCAACAGAGCUCAUAUUAGCAUUCAACUGAAAAUUCAGUGAAUCAGGGAACUUGAUUCCUUCCAUCUUCAGAAAGUCAUCUCCCUUUUGGCAAUCUAAUGGUGGAUCUCUAUAACAUCCAUUUCUCCACUCAUACAUCCUCCAUUCCUUUUCAGAUCUCGGCUUGAAUCCCCUUAGACACUCACAUACUGGCAUUUUGUUAAUCUUGCAGAUGCCAUAAUGACCACACCUGCCAUAACUGUUACACAAAUCGUCUGUAGAGGCUAUCAUGAGAUUCCAGUGGUCUUUUUGGUCGUUCAUGAUGUAUCCCUCGAGCACGCCUGAGUAGUUCAUUGUUACCCUUAUGAUUGCUGAAUCACUGAAAGGGUUGGAUACUGAAACCAAUCUGCCCCCUUGUGAUGAAAAUUCUGUUUUCCAGUCUUGAUUUGGUGAAUUCGGAAAUUCAGGGAAGUGGCCUCCCCAGAAGAUCGUCCUAUACACUCUUUGUGCCCCCUUGGUAAGCAUGAGUUGAGACAAUCCAUGGUUUUCAAUCCUGUAGCUGAAUUCUCCGACAGAUGGGUCGUCAACAGUUCUCCACGAUGUCAGAUAUUUAGCCUGAUCUCCAGUAUGAGUGUCUCCCACCACCAUCUUCAUUCCAGGUAACCUUGUGUCACCCGGGUAGUCAAAGCUCUGCCAUAUGUAGCUUGCCUGUGAGAAAGAGUUGGGUAUUAGUUUGUCUACAAUAAGCAGGUUGCCAGAAUCCAGAAGCUGUACAACUGGAGUUGAUGCAGCCAUGGAGGAACUGGAAAUCCAUAUGGGUGUUGUACCCUGUGGUGAG
RNAcentral lists this long non-coding RNA (7266 nucleotides) under Salvia miltiorrhiza (redroot sage). RNAcentral describes it as "long non-coding RNA (SMIL_LNC001554)". The record is from RNAcentral. Lineage: Eukaryota; Viridiplantae; Streptophyta; Magnoliopsida; Lamiales; Lamiaceae.